AGGGAAAGAGGGGGGUAGGCCUAACACAUGCAAGUCGAACGGCAGCACAGUAAGAGCUUGCUCUUACGGGUGGCGAGUGGCGGACGGGUGAGGAAUACAUCGGAAUCUACUUUUUCGUGGGGGAUAACGUAGGGAAACUUACGCUAAUACCGCAUACGACCUACGGGUGAAAGCAGGGGAUCUUCGGACCUUGCGCGAUUGAAUGAGCCGAUGUCGGAUUAGCUAGUUGGCGGGGUAAAGGCCCACCAAGGCGACGAUCCGUAGCUGGUCUGAGAGGAUGAUCAGCCACACUGGAACUGAGACACGGUCCAGACUCCUACGGGAGGCAGCAGUGGGGAAUAUUGGACAAUGGGCGCAAGCCUGAUCCAGCCAUACCGCGUGGGUGAAGAAGGCCUUCGGGUUGUAAAGCCCUUUUGUUGGGAAAGAAAAGCAGCAGGUUAAUACCCCGCUGUUCUGACGGUACCCAAAGAAUAAGCACCGGCUAACUUCGU
RNAcentral lists this ribosomal RNA (491 nucleotides) under uncultured bacterium. Its description in RNAcentral is "partial 16S ribosomal RNA". It matches the Rfam family "Bacterial small subunit ribosomal RNA", at positions 31 to 506 of the family's 1533-position model. The record is from RNAcentral.